AAACUCCGGUGGUACAGGAUGGGCCCGGUUCUGAUUAGCUGGUUGGCAGGGUAACGGCCUACCAAGGCAACGAUCAGUAGCCGGUCUGAGAGGAUGAACGGCCACAUUGGAACUGAGACACGGUCCAAACUCCUACGGGAGGCAGCAGUGGGGAAUAUUGCAUAAUGGGGAAAACCCUGAUGCAGCAACGCCGCGUGAGUGAAGAAGUAUUUCGGUAUGUAAAGCUCUAUCAGCAGGGAAGAUAAUGACGGUACCUGACUAAGAAGCUCCGGCUAAAUACGUGCCAGCAGCCGCGGUAAUACGUAUGGAGCAAGCGUUAUCCGGAUUUACUGGGUGUAAAGGGUGCGUAGGUGGCAGUGCAAGUCAGAUGUGAAAGGCCGGGGCUCAACCCCGGAGCUGCAUUUGAAACUGCUCGGCUAGAGUACAGGAGAGGCAGGCGGAAUUCCUAGUGUAGCGGUGAAAUGCGUAGAUAUUAGGAGGAACACCAGUGGCGCAGGCGGCCUGCUGGACUGUUACUGACACUGAGGCACGAAAGCGUGGGGAGCAAACAGGAUUAGAUACCCUGGUAGUCCACGCCGUAAACGAUCAAUAAUUGGGGUUGGGGCCGUUAUAGGCUCCGGCGCCGCCGCUAACGCAGUAAGUAUUUCCACCUGGGGGAGUACGUUCGCAAGAAUGAAACUUCAAAAGGAAUUGACGGGGACCCGCACAAGCGGUGGAGCAUGUGGUUUAAUUCGAAGCAACGCGAAGAACCUUACCAGGUCUUGACAUCCUUCUGACCACUCCGUAAUGGGAGUCUUCCUUCGGGACAGAAGAGACAGGUGGUGCAUGGUUGUCGUCAGCUCGUGUCGUGAGAUGUUGGGUUAAGUCCCGCAACGAGCGCAACCCCUAUCUUCAGUAGCCAGCAGGUAAGGCUGGGCACUCUGGAGAGACUGCCAGGGAUAACCUGGAGGAAGGUGGGGACGACGUCAAAUCAUCAUGCCCCUUAUGAUCUGGGCGACACACGUGCUACAAUGGCGGUCACAGAGUGAGGCGAACCCGCGAGGGGGAGCAAACCACAAAAAGGCCGUCCCAGUUCGGACUGUAGUCUGCAACCCGACUACACGAAGCUGGAAUCGCUAGUAAUCGCGAAUCAGAAUGUCGCGGUGAAUACGUUCCCGGGUCUUGUGCACA
This 1170-nucleotide ribosomal RNA is filed under the name uncultured bacterium. Its description in RNAcentral is "bacterial SSU rRNA". It matches the Rfam family "Bacterial small subunit ribosomal RNA", at positions 202 to 1389 of the family's 1533-position model. The record is from RNAcentral.